Tachyglossus aculeatus (Australian echidna) is the source of this 138-nucleotide small nucleolar RNA. The record is from RefSeq and is a predicted model, not a curated record. NCBI's taxonomy places the organism in Eukaryota, Metazoa, Chordata, Mammalia, Monotremata, Tachyglossidae.
UCCCUCUCAGGAUUACAAAUGGAGAAUUUCCAGUACUCUGCCAAUCUCGGCUAGGGGAGGAAGAGUCAAGCAGAGGCAUUUCCAGUCCAUUCCUAGCUUGGCCAGUGGCUAGCGAGUGGAAGGCAAUCUGCUACAAGU